UCCUGGGAUUUGGUGCCCCCAUAGUGGAGGUUUUGCACCAAUGUCGGGAUCUAUCUGCAGGUACAGGAAAUUCCCCUUCAACAUAUGAAUAAGAUUUUUAUGGGGAGGAUGGACAAGUGUUGAACCAAGUUGCUGUGAAGUCUCCAUCCCUGGCGAUACUUGGAGCCUAUCAGGACAUGCUCCUGAGCAGCCUGCCCAAGGUGCCCCAGCUCAGAGAGCCAUCCCCUCCCGAGGGUCCGGUGAGCUCCAGGACACCCAGUGUCUGCCAAAACCUUCUGCCUGUCCCCAGCCAGAGACACAGGCGCCUUGGCUCUGAUGGAAAACAGGAUGCUGCUGCUCUGUGGGCCCUUGCUGUGACCAUGCUGAAAGGUGGUGUCUGAGAGUUUAGAAAAGGUGUGAAUAUUGGAUGUAUCUUGUAGUUUAAAAACUCAAAGAAGAGAAGCCAAAAUGACCAGGCGAAGGGAUCCAACCCAGGGCAGAUGCUGUCCUGUGCAGAGCAAGGAGAAGAACCUGGGAGUCUGUGUGGCUGGAAGCUAACCCGCAGGUUGGGAGGGGUGUGUGUGUGCAUGCACAUGUGCACAAAAGGAAAUAAGGUAUAAGAAGAGAAAAUAUGUUCCUUGUUGAGUGCAAAGUCCUUCCCUCAAUGUUCACUGCCAUCCUCUGUCUCCGUUUUGGGUCGGUACAUUACAGGAAGCAGGUGUUUAUGGGAUGGUUCUGAACCCAAUGCCUAAAAAAAACCCUUUACUCAGC
Molecule: long non-coding RNA, 750 nt
Filed under: Anser brachyrhynchus (Pink-footed goose)
Lineage: Eukaryota; Metazoa; Chordata; Aves; Anseriformes; Anatidae
Description: lncRNA (ENSABRG00000016233.1)
Source: RNAcentral